This is a small nucleolar RNA of Scophthalmus maximus (turbot), 201 nucleotides long. The record is from Ensembl. NCBI's taxonomy places the organism in Eukaryota, Metazoa, Chordata, Actinopteri, Pleuronectiformes, Scophthalmidae.
GACACGUUCCUUAGAUCCAUCUCUGGAGGGCGCUGCCCUGAGCAGUGCUCCUCGGCAGCUUUUUGGCUGUACAGUUGGAGGUGCUUGAGUCAUUGGCGUGUGAGAUCAGUCUACCUGUCCCCCAGCCCACCUGCAUCACUGGCAGCCCCAUCCUCUACCGACGGGGAGCCUCCAGUGCUGCGAGCCUGGGGGACGGACACA